Molecule: ribosomal RNA, 426 nt
Filed under: uncultured bacterium
Lineage: Bacteria
Description: bacterial SSU rRNA
Rfam family: Bacterial small subunit ribosomal RNA
Source: RNAcentral
GGGGAAUAUUGGACAAUGGGGGGAACCCUGAUCCAGCCAUGCCGCGUGUGUGAAGAAGGCCUUUUGGUUGUAAAGCACUUUAAGCGAGGAGGAGGCUACUGGUAUUAAUACUACCGGAUAGUGGACGUUACUCGCAGAAUAAGCACCGGCUAACUCUGUGCCAGCAGCCGCGGUAAUACAGAGGGUGCGAGCGUUAAUCGGAUUUACUGGGCGUAAAGCGUGCGUAGGCGGCUUUUUAAGUCGGAUGUGAAAUCCCUGAGCUUAACUUAGGAAUUGCAUUCGAUACUGGGAGGCUAGAGUAUGGGAGAGGAUGGUAGAAUUCCAGGUGUAGCGGUGAAAUGCGUAGAGAUCUGGAGGAAUACCGAUGGCGAAGGCAGCCAUCUGGCCUAAUACUGACGCUGAGGUACGAAAGCAUGGGGAGCAAAC